This 329-nucleotide unclassified non-coding RNA is filed under the name soil metagenome. Its description in RNAcentral is "partial contains 5.8S ribosomal RNA, internal transcribed spacer 2, and large subunit ribosomal RNA". The stretch from base 1 to 120 matches the Rfam family "5.8S ribosomal RNA", at positions 35 to 154 of the family's 154-position model. The record is from RNAcentral.
GAUGAAGAACGAAGCGAAAUGCGAUAAGUAAUGUGAAUUGCAGAAUUCAGUGAAUCAUCGAAUCUUUGAACGCACAUUGCGCCCCCUGGUAUUCCGGGGGGCAUGCCUGUCCGAGCGUCAUUACAACCCUCAAGCUCAGCUUGGUAUUGGGCCCCGCCGACCCGGCGGGCCCUAAAGUCAGUGGCGGUGCCGUCCGGCUCCGAGCGUAGUAAUUCUUCUCGCUCUGGAGGUCCGGUCGUGUGCUCGCCAGCAACCCCCAAUUUUUUUCAGGUUGACCUCGGAUCAGGUAGGGAUACCCGCUGAACUUAAGCAUAUCAAUAAGCGGAGGA